RNAcentral lists this ribosomal RNA (32 nucleotides) under Septoria bupleuri. Its description in RNAcentral is "partial 18S ribosomal RNA". The record is from RNAcentral. Lineage: Eukaryota; Fungi; Ascomycota; Dothideomycetes; Mycosphaerellales; Mycosphaerellaceae.
UUCGUUGGGUGGACCUGGGGGGGGAUCCAUUA